CUUUUAAUUUCCAAUCGAUAUAAAAUUCGAAUUUUUUGUUUCUAUUAUUUUAAUUGAGAUUAUUACUUUUGAGUUUGUCAUCAAAAAAUCAUAAAUUUUUCGAUGGGAACUUCAGUGUCACAUCACAUUUUUGAAAGAUUCAGUUGUUGGCUCGGUGAUGUGAUUUGAAUUUCAUAAAAUUCAGCAAAGAACAGAAGUUAUCUGUCGUUUUGCUAAUGUAUGUAAUCCCAUCAUAAAUUCGAAAGUGUGCUCGGAAGAGUAAAUGAUUCAUGAUGAACUUUUUCUAGUGUUCUUAAGUGAUGUGAAUCAGAGGUGUUAUUGGCACUUUUUGGAGAAGUGCUGGCAUUUAUUUUAAGACAAUUUUCAAAAUUAUUUGUGAAUUUUAAUUUUGCAAGGGUCGCGCCUGAAUAUAAGAGAAAAUCGUGCUCGCCUAUCUGCGGUGCUGAUAAUAGCUCUGAUGUGACUACUGUAUCUAUCAACGUAUUUUUAAAGGUAUUCUAUUCAUCAAAGUGCUGUUUUCGGU
Long non-coding RNA from Contarinia nasturtii (swede midge), 523 nucleotides. RefSeq lists it as uncharacterized. The record is from RefSeq and is a predicted model, not a curated record. The transcript is spliced from 4 exons. NCBI's taxonomy places the organism in Eukaryota, Metazoa, Arthropoda, Insecta, Diptera, Cecidomyiidae.